Capsicum annuum is the source of this 101-nucleotide non-coding RNA. The record is from Rfam. Lineage: Eukaryota; Viridiplantae; Streptophyta; Magnoliopsida; Solanales; Solanaceae.
UUGUUUUAGGGAUGAACAAAUCGUUGAUAAUUUAAUUCAUUCAUCUCUUUGUCAUUAUCACAGUGUUGUUGUUUUGAUGAUCAUUAUCAAAUAGUAUGAUU